ACAAGAGUAGAUGAUAUCACAUACCAGUGAGCUACAGGCACUGAAGCAGACAGAAGAUAUUCAGACCUAAGGCUGCUCUCACAACCCCACACUGAGGGCUCCCAGUUCCCAGCUGGAAAGAGAGCUGAGGUCCCACUGCCAGGAAGUCUCUGAGGAGUUUUAAAGCAAGGAAGUGCUUGUGAUCAAACUUCAGGAUUACAGUCUAACAAAGAGGCAACUUUUAACAAUUCAAGUCUGAUUGGAAAAAAAUGAUAAAAUAAAUCAAGACAAUUUAGAUGUAUAUAUUUCAAGGUCAUUUUUAAAAAAGUUUAGGGGGAGGGAAAAGCAUACGUGAAGAAUAGUUGAAUUAAUCUGCAGUAUAGAUACAAUUGAACCAACUGUUUAUUUACAACAAUUCAUGAAAUUCAGCAGCCUGAACACACACCCAUAUAGCAGCUAUAGCAGCAAUUACCUGGUCUAUUAAAUGAUGUCGCAUCUCAUCUCUUCUGCAGGCAAAGAAUGAUUGGUCAGAGGUCACAGCUUACUUUCUUGCACGAGGUAAAACAUUAUGUGCAAGCAAUUCCUUGAUCUAUAUAACAGCUGUGAGAGCAACACAGUUGUACUGCUCUUUGUGAUAAGCACAUUUGUCUUGCGUGUAAGGAGAACAGAAAGCUUCUCUGAUGUAAAUGUGCCUUUAGAAAGUGAGAA
This 687-nucleotide long non-coding RNA is filed under the name Gallus gallus (chicken). RNAcentral describes it as "long non-coding RNA NONGGAT001535". The record is from RNAcentral. Lineage: Eukaryota; Metazoa; Chordata; Aves; Galliformes; Phasianidae.